This 798-nucleotide ribosomal RNA is filed under the name uncultured Methanosarcina sp. RNAcentral describes it as "bacterial SSU rRNA". It matches the Rfam family "Archaeal small subunit ribosomal RNA", at positions 104 to 900 of the family's 1478-position model. The record is from RNAcentral. Lineage: Archaea; Methanobacteriati; Methanobacteriota; Methanomicrobia; Methanosarcinales; Methanosarcinaceae.
AUAACCUGCCCUUGGGACCGGCAUAACCCCGGGAAACUGGGGAUAAUUCCGGAUAACGCAUAUUUGCUGGAAUGCUUUAUGCGUCAAAAGGAUUCGUCUGCCCAAGGAUGGGUCUGCGGCCUAUCAGGUAGUAGUGGGUGUAAUGUACCUACUAGCCAGCGACGGGUACGGGCCGUGAGAGCAAGAGCCCGGAGAUGGAUUCUGAGACAUGAAUCCAGGCCCUACGGGGCGCAGCAGGCGCGAAAACUUUACAAUGCGGGAAACCGUGAUAAGGGGACACCGAGUGCCAGCAUCAUAUGCUGGCUGUCCGGAUGUGUAAAAUACAUCCGUUAGCAAGGGCCGGGCAAGACCGGUGCCAGCCGCCGCGGUAACACCGGCGGCCCGAGUGGUGAUCGUGAUUAUUGGGUCUAAAGGGUCCGUAGCCGGUUUGGUCAGUCCUCCGGGAAAUCUGAUAGCUCAACUAUUAGGCUUUCGGGGGAUACUGCCAGACUUGGAACCGGGAGAGGUAAGAGGUACUACAGGGGUAGGAGUGAAAUCUUGUAAUCCCUGUGGGACCACCUGUGGCGAAGGCGUCUUACCAGAACGGGUUCGACGGUGAGGGACGAAAGCUGGGGGCACGAACCGGAUUAGAUACCCGGGUAGUCCCAGCCGUAAACGAUGCUCGCUAGGUGUCAGGCAUGGCGCGACCGUGUCUGGUGCCGCAGGGAAGCCGUGAAGCGAGCCACCUGGGAAGUACGGCCGCAAGGCUGAAACUUAAAGGAAUUGGCGGGGGAGCACAACAACGGGUGGAGCCUGCGG